UUAAUGGAGAGUUUGAUCCUGGCUCAGGAUGAACGCUGGCGGCGUGCUUAACACAUGCAAGUCGAACGAUGAAGACCGUGCUUGCACGGUUGGAUUAGUGGCGAACGGGUGAGUAUCACGUGAGUAACCUUCCCUUAACUCUGGGAUAAGCCCGGGAAACUGGGUCUAAUACCGGAUACGACCAGUCCUCGCAUGGGGUGCUGGUGGAAAGAUUUAUCGGUUUUGGAUGGACUCGCGGCCUAUCAGCUUGUUGGUGAGGUAAAGGCUCACCAAGGCGAUGACGGGUAGCCGGCCUGAGAGGGUGACCGGCCACACUGGGACUGAGACACGGCCCAGACUCCUACGGGAGGCAGCAGUGGGGAAUAUUGCACAAUGGGCGAAAGCCUGAUGCAGCGACGCCGCGUGCGGGAUGACGGCCUUCGGGUUGUAAACCGCUUUCAGCAGGGAAGAAGCGCAAGUGACGGUACCUGCAGAAGAAGCGCCGGCUAACUACGUGCCAGCAGCCGCGGUAAUACGUAGGGCGCGAGCGUUAUCCGGAAUUAUUGGGCGUAAAGAGCUCGUAGGCGGUUUGUCACGUCUGCUGUGAAAGCCCGGGGCUCAACCCCGGGUGUGCAGUGGGUACGGGCAGACUAGAGUGCAGUAGGGGAGACUGGAAUUCCUGGUGUAGCGGUGAAAUGCGCAGAUAUCAGGAGGAACACCGAUGGCGAAGGCAGGUCUCUGGGCUGUUACUGACGCUGAGGAGCGAAAGCAUGGGGAGCGAACAGGAUUAGAUACCCUGGUAGUCCAUGCCGUAAACGUUGGGCACUAGGUGUGGGGAACAUUCCACGUUUUCCGCGCCGUAGCUAACGCAUUAAGUGCCCCGCCUGGGGAGUACGGCCGCAAGGCUAAAACUCAAAGGAAUUGACGGGGGCCCGCACAAGCGGCGGAGCAUGCGGAUUAAUUCGAUGCAACGCGAAGAACCUUACCAAGGCUUGACAUGGACCGGACCGCUGCAGAGAUGCAGUUUCCCUUCGGGGUCGGUUCACAGGUGGUGCAUGGUUGUCGUCAGCUCGUGUCGUGAGAUGUUGGGUUAAGUCCCGCAACGAGCGCAACCCCUAUCCUAUGUUGCCAGCACGUUAUGGUGGGGACUCAUGGGAGACUGCCGGGGUCAACUCGGAGGAAGGUGGGGACGACGUCAAAUCAUCAUGCCCCUUAUGUCUUGGGCUUCACGCAUGCUACAAUGGCCGGUACAAUGGGUUGCGAUACUGUGAGGUGGAGCUAAUCCCUAAAAGCCGGUCUCAGUUCGGAUCGAAGUCUGCAACUCGACUUCGUGAAGUUGGAGUCGCUAGUAAUCGCAGAUCAGCAACGCUGCGGUGAAUACGUUCCCGGGCCUUGUACACACCGCCCGUCAAGUCACGAAAGUGGGUAACACCCGAAGCCGGUGGCCUAACCCUUGUGGGGGGAGCCGUCGAAGGUGGGACUCGCGAUUGGGACUAAGUCGUAACAAGGUAGCCGUACCGGAAGGUGCGGCUGGAUCACCUCCUUU
RNAcentral lists this ribosomal RNA (1525 nucleotides) under Nesterenkonia halotolerans. RNAcentral describes it as "bacterial SSU rRNA". It matches the Rfam family "Bacterial small subunit ribosomal RNA". Lineage: Bacteria; Bacillati; Actinomycetota; Actinomycetes; Micrococcales; Micrococcaceae. The record is from RNAcentral.